RNAcentral lists this ribosomal RNA (402 nucleotides) under uncultured Archaeorhizomycetes. Its description in RNAcentral is "eukaryotic LSU rRNA". It matches the Rfam family "Eukaryotic large subunit ribosomal RNA", at positions 96 to 499 of the family's 3401-position model. Lineage: Eukaryota; Fungi; Ascomycota; Archaeorhizomycetes. The record is from RNAcentral.
AAGAGGGAAAAGCUCAAGUUUGAAAUCUGGCGGGUGACCGUCCAGAGUUGUAAGCUGGAGAGGUGUCGUCCGACGCGGUCCAGGCUCAAUUUCCUUGGAACAGGAGGUCAUGGAGGGUGAGAACCCCGUACAUGGCUUGGGCGCCGCCGUCCUUGUGACGCAUCCUCUAAGAGUCGGGUUGUUUGGGAAUGCAGCUCAAAAUGGGUGGUAAAUUUCAUCUAAAGCUAAAUAUGGGCGAGAGACCGAUAGCAAACAAGUAGAGUGAUCGAAAGAUGAAAAGUACUUUGAAAAGAGAGUGAAACAGUACGUGAAAUUGUUGAAAGGGAAGCGUUUGGCAUCAGCCCAUGGCGGUGGUACGAACAUCCUUGCUUCGGCAUGGUGCACUCGUCCACCGUUGGGCCA